UGCGGCGUGGAGCAGUGGAAGCUCGUCGGGCUCAUAACCCGAAGGUCGCUGGUUCGAAUCCAGCCGCCGCAACCA
RNAcentral lists this transfer RNA (75 nucleotides) under Chloroflexota bacterium. Its description in RNAcentral is "Chloroflexi bacterium (soil metagenome) tRNA-Met". It matches the Rfam family "tRNA". Rfam says of the family: Transfer RNA (tRNA) molecules are approximately 80 nucleotides in length. Their secondary structure includes four short double-helical elements and three loops (D, anti-codon, and T loops). Further hydrogen bonds mediate the characteristic L-shaped molecular structure. tRNAs have two regions of fundamental functional importance: the anti-codon, which is responsible for specific mRNA codon recognition, and the 3' end, to which the tRNAs corresponding amino acid is attached (by aminoacyl-tRNA synthetases). tRNAs cope with the degeneracy of the genetic code in two manners: having more than one tRNA (with a specific anti-codon) for a particular amino acid; and 'wobble' base-pairing, i.e. permitting non-standard base-pairing at the 3rd anti-codon position. The record is from RNAcentral. RNAcentral also lists the same sequence under 4 other names. Lineage: Bacteria; Bacillati; Chloroflexota.